GACGAACGCUGGCGGCGUGCCUAAUACAUGCAAGUUGAGCGCUGAAGGUUGGUACUUGUACCAACUGGAUGAGCAGCGAACGGGUGAGUAACGCGUGGGGAAUCUGCCUUUGAGCGGGGGACAACAUUUGGAAACGAAUGCUAAUACCGCAUAAAAACUUUAAACACAAGUUUUAAGUUUGAAAGAUGCAAUUGCAUCACUCAAAGAUGAUCCCGCGUUGUAUUAGCUAGUUGGUGAGGUAAAGGCUCACCAAGGCGAUGAUACAUAGCCGACCUGAGAGGGUGAUCGGACAAAUUGGGACUGAGACACGGCCCAAACUCCUACGGGAGGCAGCAGUAGGGAAUCUUCGGCAAUGGACGAAAGUCUGACCGAGCAACGCCGAGUGAGUGAAGAAGGUUUUCGGAUCGUAAAACUCUGUUGGUAGAGAAGAACGUUGGUGAGAGUGGAAAGCUCAUCAAGUGACGGUAACUACCCAGAAAGGGACGGCUAACUACGUG
This 497-nucleotide ribosomal RNA is filed under the name uncultured bacterium. Its description in RNAcentral is "partial 16S ribosomal RNA". It matches the Rfam family "Bacterial small subunit ribosomal RNA", at positions 28 to 507 of the family's 1533-position model. The record is from RNAcentral.